GCGCUGCUGACAAGUCCCAAACAGGACGAAACAGCUGUCCAGUGC
Molecule: non-coding RNA, 45 nt
Organism: Echinostoma caproni
Lineage: Eukaryota; Metazoa; Platyhelminthes; Trematoda; Plagiorchiida; Echinostomatidae
Source: Rfam